UACGUAGGGUGCAAGCGUUGUCCGGAAUUAUUGGGCGUAAAGGGCUCGUAGGCGGUCUGUCACGUCGGGAGUGAAAACUCAGGGCUUAACCCUGAGCCUGCUUCCGAUACGGGCAGACUAGAGGUAUGCAGGGGAGAACGGAAUUCCUGGUGUAGCGGUGAAAUGCGCAGAUAUCAGGAGGAACACCGGUGGCGAAGGCGGGUCUCUGGGCCGUAACUGACGCUGAGGAGCGAAAGCAUGGGGAGCGAACAGG
Molecule: ribosomal RNA, 253 nt
Filed under: uncultured bacterium
Lineage: Bacteria
Description: partial 16S ribosomal RNA
Rfam family: Bacterial small subunit ribosomal RNA
Source: RNAcentral